This 74-nucleotide microRNA precursor is filed under the name Bos taurus (domestic cattle). Its description in RNAcentral is "microRNA bta-mir-2304 precursor". The record is from miRBase by way of RNAcentral. Lineage: Eukaryota; Metazoa; Chordata; Mammalia; Artiodactyla; Bovidae.
CAGAUCAUUUAAUAACUGGAUAUUCUAAUUAUGCAUGUGUAUAGGGUUGUGUGGUUGUGUGUGUGUGAUUUCUG